GACGAACGCUGGCGGCGUGCUUAACACAUGCAAGUCGAACGGAAAGGCCCUGCUUUUGUGGGGUGCUCGAGUGGCGAACGGGUGAGUAACACGUGAGUAACCUGCCCUUGACUUUGGGAUAACUUCAGGAAACUGGGGCUAAUACCGGAUAGGAGCUCCUGCUGCAUGGUGGGGGUUGGAAAGUUUCGGCGGUUGGGGAUGGACUCGCGGCUUAUCAGCUUGUUGGUGGGGUAGUGGCUUACCAAGGCUUUGACGGGUAGCCGGCCUGAGAGGGUGACCGGCCACAUUGGGACUGAGAUACGGACCAGACUCCUACGGGAGGCAGCAGUGGGGAAUCUUGCACAAUGGGCGGAAGCCUGAUGCAGCAACGCCGCGUGCGGGAUGACGGCCUUCGGGUUGUAAACGGCUUUCGCCUGUGACGAAGCGUGAGUGACGGUAAUGGGUAAAGAAGCACCGGCUAACUACGUG
Molecule: ribosomal RNA, 468 nt
Filed under: uncultured bacterium
Lineage: Bacteria
Description: partial 16S ribosomal RNA
Rfam family: Bacterial small subunit ribosomal RNA
Source: RNAcentral